UCCCCAGCGGCGCAAUUGGUUAGCGCACGGUACUUGUAAUGCCGGUGUCGUGAGUUCGAGCCUCACUUCGUGAA
Dryococelus australis is the source of this 74-nucleotide non-coding RNA. NCBI's taxonomy places the organism in Eukaryota, Metazoa, Arthropoda, Insecta, Phasmatodea, Phasmatidae. The record is from the annotation of a GenBank genome assembly.